ACUCCCCUAAUACAAACAAUAUAAGUGACUUCCAAUUACUAAAUUUCAGUCUAAAACCUGAAGAGGAGUA
Molecule: transfer RNA, 70 nt
Filed under: Peltocephalus dumerilianus (big-headed amazon river turtle)
Lineage: Eukaryota; Metazoa; Chordata; Testudines; Podocnemididae
Description: tRNA-Gly
Source: RNAcentral